RNAcentral lists this ribosomal RNA (497 nucleotides) under uncultured bacterium. RNAcentral describes it as "partial 16S ribosomal RNA". It matches the Rfam family "Bacterial small subunit ribosomal RNA", at positions 28 to 507 of the family's 1533-position model. The record is from RNAcentral.
GAUGAACGCUGGCGGCGUGCCUAACACAUGCAAGUCGAGCGGAAGGACGCUAAGCUUGUUUCUCUGAUGUUAGCGGCGGACGGGUGAGUAACACGUGGAUCCCCUCCCUAUAAUUCUGGGAUAACUUCGGGAAACCGUAUCUAAUACCGGAUAAUAUUUUGAACCGCAUGGUUCACAAGUGAUAGACGGUCUUGCUGUAUCUUAUAGAUGGUUCCGCGCUGCAUUAGCUAGUUGGUAAGGUAACGGCUUACCAAGGCAACGAUGCGUAGCCGACCUGAGAGGGUGAUCGGCCACACUGGAACUGAGACACGGUCCAGACUCCUACGGGAGGCAGCAGUAGGGAAUCUUCGGCAAUGGGCGAAAGCCUGACGCAGCAACGCCGCGUGAGUGAUGAAGGUCUUCGGAUCGUAAAGCUCUGUUAUUAGGGAAGAACAGAUGUGGAAGUAACUGUGCACAUCUUGACGGUACCUAAUCAGAAAGCCACGGCUAACUACGUG